Molecule: ribosomal RNA, 1617 nt
Filed under: Salmonella enterica
Lineage: Bacteria; Pseudomonadati; Pseudomonadota; Gammaproteobacteria; Enterobacterales; Enterobacteriaceae
Description: partial 23S ribosomal RNA
Rfam family: Bacterial large subunit ribosomal RNA
Source: RNAcentral
ACUCAGGUGUUGUUGGGUAGGGGAGCGUUCUGUAAGCCUGCGAAGGUGGCCUGUGAGGGUUGCUGGAGGUAUCAGAAGUGCGAAUGCUGACAUAAGUAACGAUAAAGCGGGUGAAAAGCCCGCUCGCCGGAAGACCAAGGGUUCCUGUCCAACGUUAAUCGGGGCAGGGUGAGUCGACCCCUAAGGCGAGGCCGAAAGGCGUAGUCGAUGGGAAACGGGUUAAUAUUCCCGUACUUGGUGUUACUGCGAAGGGGGGACGGAGAAGGCUAUGUUGGCCGGGCGACGGUUGUCCCGGUUUAAGCGUGUAGGUGUGUGUUCCAGGUAAAUCCGGUUCACUUUAACACUGAGGCGUGAUGACGAGGCACUACGGUGCUGAAGCAACAAAUGCCCUGCUUCCAGGAAAAGCCUCUAAGCAUCAGGUAACAUCAAAUCGUACCCCAAACCGACACAGGUGGUCAGGUAGAGAAUACCAAGGCGCUUGAGAGAACUCGGGUGAAGGAACUAGGCAAAAUGGUGCCGUAACUUCGGGAGAAGGCACGCUGACAUGUAGGUGAAGUGAUUUACUCAUGGAGCUGAAGUCAGUCGAAGAUACCAGCUGGCUGCAACUGUUUAUUAAAAACACAGCACUGUGCAAACACGAAAGUGGACGUAUACGGUGUGACGCCUGCCCGGUGCCGGAAGGUUAAUUGAUGGGGUCAGCGCAAGCGAAGCUCCUGAUCGAAGCCCCGGUAAACGGCGGCCGUAACUAUAACGGUCCUAAGGUAGCGAAAUUCCUUGUCGGGUAAGUUCCGACCUGCACGAAUGGCGUAAUGAUGGCCAGGCUGUCUCCACCCGAGACUCAGUGAAAUUGAACUCGCUGUGAAGAUGCAGUGUACCCGCGGCAAGACGGAAAGACCCCGUGAACCUUUACUAUAGCUUGACACUGAACAUUGAGCCUUGAUGUGUAGGAUAGGUGGGAGGCUUUGAAGCGUGGACGCCAGUCUGCGUGGAGCCGACCUUGAAAUACCACCCUUUAAUGUUUGAUGUUCUAACGUGGACCCGUAAUCCGGGUUGCGGACAGUGUCUGGUGGGUAGUUUGACUGGGGCGGUCUCCUCCUAAAGAGUAACGGAGGAGCACGAAGGUUGGCUAAUCCUGGUCGGACAUCAGGAGGUUAGUGCAAUGGCAUAAGCCAGCUUGACUGCGAGCGUGACGGCGCGAGCAGGUGCGAAAGCAGGUCAUAGUGAUCCGGUGGUUCUGAAUGGAAGGGCCAUCGCUCAACGGAUAAAAGGUACUCCGGGGAUAACAGGCUGAUACCGCCCAAGAGUUCAUAUCGACGGCGGUGUUUGGCACCUCGAUGUCGGCUCAUCACAUCCUGGGGCUGAAGUAGGUCCCAAGGGUAUGGCUGUUCGCCAUUUAAAGUGGUACGCGAGCUGGGUUUAGAACGUCGUGAGACAGUUCGGUCCCUAUCUGCCGUGGGCGCUGGAGAACUGAGGGGGGCUGCUCCUAGUACGAGAGGACCGGAGUGGACGCAUCACUGGUGUUCGGGUUGUCAUGCCAAUGGCACUGCCCGGUAGCUAAAUGCGGAAGAGAUAAGUGCUGAAAGCAUCUAAGCACGAAACUUGCCCCGAGAUGAGUUC